Molecule: ribosomal RNA, 2901 nt
Filed under: Klebsiella aerogenes
Lineage: Bacteria; Pseudomonadati; Pseudomonadota; Gammaproteobacteria; Enterobacterales; Enterobacteriaceae
Description: 23S ribosomal RNA
Rfam family: Bacterial large subunit ribosomal RNA
Source: RNAcentral
UUAAGCGACUAAGCGUACACGGUGGAUGCCCUGGCAGUCAGAGGCGAUGAAGGACGUGCUAAUCUGCGAAAAGCGUCGGUAAGGUGAUAUGAACCGUUACAGCCGGCGAUGUCCGAAUGGGGAAACCCAGUGCAAUUCGUUGCACUAUCGUUAACUGAAUACAUAGGUUAACGAGGCGAACCGGGGGAACUGAAACAUCUAAGUACCCCGAGGAAAAGAAAUCAACCGAGAUUCCCCCAGUAGCGGCGAGCGAACGGGGAGCAGCCCAGAGUCUGAAUCAGCUUGUGUGUUAGUGGAACGGUCUGGAAAGUCCGACGGUACAGGGUGAUAGUCCCGUACACCAAAAUGCACAGGUUGUGAACUCGAAGAGUAGGGCGGGACACGUGGUAUCCUGUCUGAAUAUGGGGGACCAUCCUCCAAGGCUAAAUACUCCUGACUGACCGAUAGUGAACCAGUACCGUGAGGGAAAGGCGAAAAGAACCCCGGCGAGGGGAGUGAAAAAGAACCUGAAACCGUGUACGUACAAGCAGUGGGAGCACCUUCGGGUGUGACUGCGUACCUUUUGUAUAAUGGGUCAGCGACUUAUAUUCUGUAGCAAGGUUAACCGUAUAGGGGAGCCGCAGGGAAACCGAGUCUUAACUGGGCGUUAAGUUGCAGGGUAUAGACCCGAAACCCGGUGAUCUAGCCAUGGGCAGGUUGAAGGUUGGGUAACACUAACUGGAGGACCGAACCGACUAAUGUUGAAAAAUUAGCGGAUGACUUGUGGCUGGGGGUGAAAGGCCAAUCAAACCGGGAGAUAGCUGGUUCUCCCCGAAAGCUAUUUAGGUAGCGCCUCGUGAAUUCAUCUUCGGGGGUAGAGCACUGUUUCGGCUAGGGGGUCAUCCCGACUUACCAACCCGAUGCAAACUACGAAUACCGAAGAAUGUUAUCACGGGAGACACACGGCGGGUGCUAACGUCCGUCGUGAAGAGGGAAACAACCCAGACCGCCAGCUAAGGUCCCAAAGUCACAGUUAAGUGGGAAACGAUGUGGGAAGGCACAGACAGCCAGGAUGUUGGCUUAGAAGCAGCCAUCAUUUAAAGAAAGCGUAAUAGCUCACUGGUCGAGUCGGCCUGCGCGGAAGAUGUAACGGGGCUAAACUGUGCACCGAAGCUGCGGCAGCGACACUAUGUGUUGUUGGGUAGGGGAGCGUUCUGUAAGCCUGCGAAGGUGGCCUGUGAGGGUUGCUGGAGGUAUCAGAAGUGCGAAUGCUGACAUAAGUAACGAUAAUGCGGGUGAAAAGCCCGCACGCCGGAAGACCAAGGGUUCCUGUCCAACGUUAAUCGGGGCAGGGUGAGUCGACCCCUAAGGCGAGGCCGAAAGGCGUAGUCGAUGGGAAACAGGUUAAUAUUCCUGUACUUGGUGUUACUGCGAAGGGGGGACGGAGAAGGCUAUGUUAGCCGGGCGACGGUUGUCCCGGUUUAAGCAUGUAGGCGGAGGUUCCAGGUAAAUCCGGUACCUUUUAACGCUGAGGUGUGAUGACGAGGCACUACGGUGCUGAAGUAACAAAUGCCCUGCUUCCAGGAAAAGCCUCUAAGCAUCAGGUAACAUUAAAUCGUACCCCAAACCGACACAGGUGGUCAGGUAGAGAAUACCAAGGCGCUUGAGAGAACUCGGGUGAAGGAACUAGGCAAAAUGGUGCCGUAACUUCGGGAGAAGGCACGCUGAUAUGUAGGUGAAGCCCCUGCGGGUGGAGCUGAAAUCAGUCGAAGAUACCAGCUGGCUGCAACUGUUUAUUAAAAACACAGCACUGUGCAAACACGAAAGUGGACGUAUACGGUGUGACGCCUGCCCGGUGCCGGAAGGUUAAUUGAUGGGGUUAUCCGUAAGGAGAAGCUCUUGAUCGAAGCCCCGGUAAACGGCGGCCGUAACUAUAACGGUCCUAAGGUAGCGAAAUUCCUUGUCGGGUAAGUUCCGACCUGCACGAAUGGCGUAAUGAUGGCCAGGCUGUCUCCACCCGAGACUCAGUGAAAUUGAACUCGCUGUGAAGAUGCAGUGUACCCGCGGCAAGACGGAAAGACCCCGUGAACCUUUACUAUAGCUUGACACUGAACAUUGAGCCUUGAUGUGUAGGAUAGGUGGGAGGCUUUGAAGCGUGGACGCCAGUCUGCGUGGAGCCAACCUUGAAAUACCACCCUUUAAUGUUUGAUGUUCUAACGUUGGCCCCUUAUCGGGGUUGCGGACAGUGUCUGGUGGGUAGUUUGACUGGGGCGGUCUCCUCCCAAAGAGUAACGGAGGAGCACGAAGGUUAGCUAAUCCUGGUCGGACAUCAGGAGGUUAGUGCAAUGGCAUAAGCUAGCUUGACUGCGAGCGUGACGGCGCGAGCAGGUGCGAAAGCAGGUCAUAGUGAUCCGGUGGUUCUGAAUGGAAGGGCCAUCGCUCAACGGAUAAAAGGUACUCCGGGGAUAACAGGCUGAUACCGCCCAAGAGUUCAUAUCGACGGCGGUGUUUGGCACCUCGAUGUCGGCUCAUCACAUCCUGGGGCUGAAGUAGGUCCCAAGGGUAUGGCUGUUCGCCAUUUAAAGUGGUACGCGAGCUGGGUUUAGAACGUCGUGAGACAGUUCGGUCCCUAUCUGCCGUGGGCGCUGGAGAAUUGAGGGGGGCUGCUCCUAGUACGAGAGGACCGGAGUGGACGCAUCACUGGUGUUCGGGUUGUCAUGCCAAUGGCAUUGCCCGGUAGCUAAAUGCGGAAGAGAUAAGUGCUGAAAGCAUCUAAGCACGAAACUUGCCCCGAGAUGAGUUCUCCCUGAGACUUUAAGUCUCCUGAAGGAACGUUAAAGACGAUGACGUUGAUAGGUCGGGUGUGUAAGCGUAGCGAUACGUUGAGCUAACCGAUACUAAUGAACCGUGAGGCUUAACCUU